CAGGAGGUAGUUUAUUUAAAAUACUAGUUUUGGGUAUUAGAGAAAAAUAUUUAUUUUCUUCUGA
This 64-nucleotide transfer RNA is filed under the name Orophyllus montanus. Its description in RNAcentral is "tRNA-Pro". The record is from RNAcentral. Lineage: Eukaryota; Metazoa; Arthropoda; Insecta; Orthoptera; Tettigoniidae.